CCUACGGAAGGCAGCAGUGGGGAAUAUUGCACAAUGGGGGAAACCCUGAUGCAGCGACGCCGCGUGAGUGAAGAAGUCAUUCGUUAUGUAAAGCUCUAUCAGCAGGGAAGAAAAUGACGGUACCUGAGUAAGACGCCCCGGCUAACUACGUGCCAGCAGCCGCGGUAAUACGUAGGGGGCAAGCGUUAUCCGGAUUUACUGGGUGUAACGGGAGCGUAGACGGCAGUGCAAGUCUGGAGUGAAAGGCGGGGGCUCAACCCCCGGACUGCUCUGGAAACUGUACGGCUGGAGUGCAGGAGAGGUAAGUGGAAUUCCUAGUGUAGCGGUGAAAUGCGUAGAUAUUAGGAGGAACACCAGUGGCGAAGGCGGCUUACUGGACUGUAACUGACGUUGAGGCUCGAAAGCGUGGGGAGCAAACAGGAUUAGAUACCCUAGUAGUC
Molecule: ribosomal RNA, 440 nt
Filed under: uncultured bacterium
Lineage: Bacteria
Description: partial 16S ribosomal RNA
Rfam family: Bacterial small subunit ribosomal RNA
Source: RNAcentral